Molecule: non-coding RNA, 181 nt
Filed under: Tenderia electrophaga (SeqCode)
Lineage: Bacteria; Pseudomonadati; Pseudomonadota; Gammaproteobacteria; Tenderiales (SeqCode); Tenderiaceae (SeqCode)
Description: Candidatus Tenderia electrophaga 6S / SsrS RNA
Rfam family: 6S / SsrS RNA
About the family: E. coli 6S RNA was the first non coding RNA to be sequenced, but its function was unknown until recently. It consists of 184 nucleotides that fold into an extended hairpin structure with a large single-stranded internal bulge. The 6S RNA specifically associates with RNA polymerase holoenzyme containing the sigma70 specificity factor.
Source: Rfam by way of RNAcentral
CAUCCUCUGCGGUGUUUGUAAGCGGGCUAAGUAACCUUUGAGCCUUAAUGCAAACCCAUGGGAACGGGGCUGUUGGAUUUGUGUGCAUGUCCGCACGACGGAAAGCCUAAUGAUCCGCGCAAGUUCCCACUUGAACCUUUGGUUCAAGGUCUAAUGCCCCAACGGCACAGGCGGAGGAUGU